Ursus maritimus (polar bear) is the source of this 1795-nucleotide long non-coding RNA. NCBI's taxonomy places the organism in Eukaryota, Metazoa, Chordata, Mammalia, Carnivora, Ursidae. The record is from Ensembl.
CUUUUCAAGAGAGAGUGACAGAGGGGUAUAGUGGGGGAGUAGGGGGAGGAGAGCUCCCCAAGGGUCCUCAACAACACCUGAAGGAGAAGGUGUGGCUCGACUGCUAGGUUGUUAAGAUGGUGUAUAAAUAGGGAUUGAAGAGGACUGUGGAUAGGAAAAUGGAGAAAAACGGAUUACUGGGGAUUUUUAAAAGGUAGGUAACAGGCAACAACAGGUAACACCUCACCCGACUCAAGGCAAAGAGGAGAAUAAAGGCACAAGGUGAGUCCGUGUUCAUUCAUGUUGUAGGAAGCCACCCUCUGAAAUGAUCUGCAUGGACCCCCCACGUGUGAACAUGUAGGAAUCCCCCGGGCUACGUUCUGCAGCAAUCAUUUUGAAUGAUCCUCAAAUAAGAGAAGGAAAAACACACUCCACGAAUCCUUCCUCCGCUACAUCUCUAGGUGAAGGUAUGAGGAUUCUCCGGGUUUCCCUGCUGGCCUUAUCAGAGGGGAGAAGCCUUGCUGUAUCCCCAUCUACACAGAAGAAGACCUCCUUUGGCCUCUGUGAUGCCAAGGGUGCCAGUCCCAGAGUGUUGCGGUGCCUCCAGGGUUCAAACUAGAUAACAGCUCGCUGGGGUGGGGGAUGGGGGCAGCUUGCCUUGUCAGUUGAAUAGGAAAAGCUGUGCGAAUUAGAAUCACAGAGGGCUUGUCUACCCUCCCUCCAGCCCCCCCCUUCUUUCAUUCCCAGAGCCUGAAUGCAAAUGAGUAUUUCUACAGUCUGAAGCCUAGAUCUUCCUCGGCAGUGGGGCUCUGCCCUGCUGGGAGCUGUUGGGAGUUGGACAUAGCUGCCUGUGAAGGAUCUGCUCUGGCCUGGACACGAGCUCCAUUUCAUCUGGAGCACUGUCGUUCAUGUCAUCUGCCCCAGUUCCCCCAGGGUUUUGGCGACAUACGCUGGCGACAUACACACAACUUUGUGUUGUGUAAGGGAACUCCUCUCUUUCUCUCCACAGAUCUUGCUGGUGUCUGCAAUCUGUUCUGGGUUAUUCCCUGCCCUGCUCUGUGGUAUAUGGAAUAUGUUCUGUGGUUGGCAAGGAUCUCUCGCAUGACUAGGGCUUUGCGCUCGAAAGGCUACUACUGUCCCCUAGAGAGGCACCAGAGGAAGCCACACCGGGAUUGCCUGGAGUGCCCACUGUGGCUGAGAUGGAGCUCUCUCCUUAUCUACACUUGUAAUAAUAGCCACACAACACAGUUGUUUACUCGGUGGCUACCACAUCACAAGCAUUGGACCAGGUAUUCUACCCAUGAAAUCUUUUUAGUCAUCACAGCAACCUGUGGAAUUAGUGUGACCAGUCCCAAGAGCUGGGUCACGGGACAGGGUAGGUGAUCUCCUGAAAUUGCAUAUCCAGGAAAUGGCCAAGCUGGAAUUUGAGCCCGGUUGGUUGGUUCCAAAGCCUCUGUUCUUUUUACCACACUCAACACACAAAUGCAAUUUCUUUUGUCAUUAGCCUGGUGAUUUUCCCUUCAAAAAGACACAGCGGAUGCUGAUUUUGCCUUUAUCAGCAGCUGGUCCUGGACCCAGAGCUGGAAAUCAGUCUUGGGAUACAGGGAACUGAUGUUGAAGAGGGCAAAACAUCUCUUUGAUUACUGAAUGCGCAGGUCACUUACAAGAGUGGACGCCUCAUCAGAAACCCUCGGGUCUGAGAGGACAUCUGUUUCUAGGAGUGUAGAGGGUGUAAACAGAGCAGGAGCCAGCCACUCUCCUGGUUGAGGUUUUGUAUUUGCUGUUUUGUAUUUCUAACACGAUUCUCCACUAAAAC